ACUUUUCUUUGUGCAUUCACACGAUGCAUUUUCUUUUCUUAUCACCAAACUGUUUUGAAAGAUAAAAGUACUUCCUGAAUAUGUGGAUGGUGAGCCACGUGAAUGGAAGACAUGGAGAUAUGGACUGUUAACACCUUGUCAAACAUUUAUUGUCCCUUCCACCUCUAAACUUCUGUGAUAAUAGGUGAACAGGACCCACGUGGUGCAGAAUACUGCGAUACACACUGCGGAAUAAUUCAGAAGAAAGAGACAUUAUACAAAUGCAAGCUGUUGUCACAACAAUGAUAAGAAAUCAGGAGUCGAAAGAUGUGGAGUAAGGGGGAAUUUCAGAGAAACCACAAAACACAAAAUAGGAAACAGAGACAGGAGAAGAUUGCUAUGACAAAAUUGCAGAAGGUGAAAUCUUUGGCAGCCUCUUAUUUCUCUGGAGAAUAUGAUAUUGUCAGGCUGAGGUGGAAGAAUCACAUGGUCAUACUGUUGAAGAGGUCUUGAAACAUUGGGCUUUCCUCUACAAGCGGAAGGAUAGCACUGGCAGCCAUCCACUGGCCCAGCAAUAUCCUGGAUUGAGACGAUAUCAUUUGCAUUACUUGCUGAAUGAAACAUAGUGAAAAUGACUGCAGAUAACCUCAACUAAGUCCAAGAUAUCAUUUUCAAAUCUGGACCAGCCCUUGCCAUCUAGACUGAACAGAGAUUCCAGUUUCCAGGAGAGUAGAUGGAGUAAUGAUAAAAGCACCUCCCAAAACUUUUGCCUUGCUCCAUCAAAACUUAUAAAAUCUUGGGAAGAGGAACUGUGGCCCAUCACUGAUCAUUUCAUCUAUUAAGUGACCACUUAUUGUCUUAUAAUAGGAGAUGUUCUGGAAACAUGCAUUGAAUCGAAGUGGCUUUGAGGAAGCAUGAAGAGAAAACAGGAUGGCAUCCUUUUGGCACCAUUUCUUAUGCUAUAAUAAGGAUUCCUUCUGUUUACACAUAAAACAGAAGAGUUUAAUCACCCCAGCAAUCUUUAACUUGGUAAUGAAGGCCAUAAAUUAAAUUUUAAGCAAAGUUAAAGAAGAUGAGAUGAAAUAUAAAACAAAAACAUCAUCAGAAUCUGCCCAGGAACAAUAUUCUUGACACCAAACCAUGACAUUAUGGGGCUCAGUUGUUUGUUUCUAGGGCAGCCCCUUGUUUUAUGUGCCAAAUAGCAUUUCCCUAAAUAAAACUGCAUGGAACAAAA
RNAcentral lists this long non-coding RNA (1213 nucleotides) under Homo sapiens (human). Its description in RNAcentral is "long intergenic non-protein coding RNA 1478". Lineage: Eukaryota; Metazoa; Chordata; Mammalia; Primates; Hominidae. The record is from RNAcentral.